CGCGGGGUAGAGCAGUUGGUAGCUCAUCGGGCUCAUAACCCGGAGGUCGUCAGUUCGAGUCUGGCCCCCGCUACCA
RNAcentral lists this transfer RNA (76 nucleotides) under Vicingaceae bacterium. Its description in RNAcentral is "tRNA-Met". It matches the Rfam family "tRNA". Rfam says of the family: Transfer RNA (tRNA) molecules are approximately 80 nucleotides in length. Lineage: Bacteria; Pseudomonadati; Bacteroidota; Flavobacteriia; Flavobacteriales; Vicingaceae. The record is from RNAcentral.